RNAcentral lists this ribosomal RNA (86 nucleotides) under Clostridium grantii DSM 8605. Lineage: Bacteria; Bacillati; Bacillota; Clostridia; Eubacteriales; Clostridiaceae. The record is from RNAcentral.
UUCCCAUUCCGAACACGAUGGUUAAGCUUCAACACGCUGAUGGUACUGCAUGGGUGACUGUGUGGGAGAGUAAGUCGUUGCCAGGU